UCNUCUGGCUUAACUGGGGGCUUGCGGUGGGUACGGGCCGGCUUGAGUGCGGUAGGGGAGGCUGGAACUCCUGGUGUAGCGGUGGAAUGCGCAGAUAUCAGGAAGAACACCGGUGGCGAAGGCGGGUCUCUGGGCCGUUACUGACGCUGAGGAGCGAAAGCGUGGGGAGCGAACAGGAUUAGAUACCCUGGUAGUCCACGCCGUAAACGUUGGGCACUAGGUGUGGGGGGCCUUUUCCGGGUUUUCCGCGCCGUAGCUAACGCAUUAAGUGCCCCGCCUGGGGAGUACGGCCGCAAGGCUAAAACUCAAAGGAAUUGACGGGGGCCCGCACAAGCGGCGGAGCAUGCGGAUUAAUUCGAUGCAACGCGAAGAACCUUACCAAGGCUUGACAUGUGCCGGUCGGCUCCGGAGACGGGGUUUCCUCCUUGUGGGGCCGGUUCACAGGUGGUGCAUGGUUGUCGUCAGCUCGUGUCGUGAGAUGUUGGGUUAAGUCCCGCAACGAGCGCAACCCUUGUCUCGUGUUGCCAGCACGUUGUGGUGGGGACUCGCGGGAGACUGCCGGGGUCAACUCGGAGGAAGGUGGGGAUGACGUCAAAUCAUCAUGCCCCUUAUGUCUUGGGCUUCACGCAUGCUACAAUGGCCGGUACAGAGGGCUGCGAUACUGUGAGGUGGAGCGAAUCCCUUAAAGCCGGUCUCAGUUCGGAUCGGUGUCUGCAACUCGACACCGUGAAGUUGGAGUCGCUAGUAAUCGCAGAUCAGCAACGCUGCGGUGAAUACGUUCUCGGGCCUUGUACACACCGCCCGUCACGUCAUGAAAGUCGGCAACACCCGAAGCCCGUGGNCUUAUGGGG
Molecule: ribosomal RNA, 851 nt
Filed under: uncultured bacterium
Lineage: Bacteria
Description: bacterial SSU rRNA
Rfam family: Bacterial small subunit ribosomal RNA
Source: RNAcentral